Molecule: ribosomal RNA, 498 nt
Filed under: uncultured bacterium
Lineage: Bacteria
Description: partial 16S ribosomal RNA
Rfam family: Bacterial small subunit ribosomal RNA
Source: RNAcentral
GGACGAACGCUGGCGGCGUGCCUAAUACAUGCAAGUAGAACGCUGAAGAGAGGAGCUUACUCUUCUUGGAUGAGUUGCGAACGGGUGAGUAACGCGUAGGUAACCUGCCUUGUAGCGGGGGAUAACUAUUGGAAACGAUAGCUAAUACCGCAUAACAAUGGAUGACACAUGUCAUUUAUUUGAAAGGGGCAAUUGCUCCACUACAAGAUGGACCUGCGUUGUAUUAGCUAGUAGGUGAGGUAAUGGCUCACCUAGGCGACGAUACAUAGCCGACCUGAGAGGGUGAUCGGCCACACUGGGACUGAGACACGGCCCAGACUCCUACGGGAGGCAGCAGUAGGGAAUCUUCGGCAAUGGGGGCAACCCUGACCGAGCAACGCCGCGUGAGUGAAGAAGGUUUUCGGAUCGUAAAGCUCUGUUGUAAGUCAAGAACGGGUGUGAGAGUGGAAAGUUCACACUGUGACGGUAGCUUACCAGAAAGGGACGGCUAACUACGUG